CUGAACGUGUCCGGAUGCCCGUAGCUCCCUUCAUCCGCGCGCAGUAGCAGCAGCCAGGAGCCCGAGCUCCUCGUCGGCCUCGACGAAUCUCAUCCGCGUCCAAGCCAUGUAGGUCAACAACAGCAGUAGCACCACGAGGUCAUGUCCGCGCCCCUGUUUUCCUCCUACCCUCCGUAUCCUCUUCUCGGGUCUCUCUCUCCCUCAUUUUAUUUCUCUCUCUGUCUUGCAGCAGCAGCACCUGCAGGAGCUGGAGCCCGUCCAUGGCUCCCUCAACCUCAGGGCCUCUGAAGUCGUCCACACCUCGCCGGAUCUGGCUAUGCCCCGUCCGGAUCCGGCGAGUCCAAGGCCUCCGCUUCCCUCUGGGACCUCGCCCCUCUCCCUCCUGUAUAUCGUUCUCUCUCUCUCAUGCUUUGUUCUUCGUCUCUCUGCAGGGACUAACCGCUCCGCCACGAGCGCUAGAUCCGCUGGNNNNNNNNNNNNNNNNNNNNNNNNNNNNNNNNNNNNNNNNNNNNNNNNNNNNNNNNNNNNNNNNNNNNNNNNNNNNNNNNNNNNNNNNNNNNNNNNNNNNUGCUUAACCCAUUGUUAGCGUUGCUAGUUGCAGGUGCAGUUGCUUCCAUGUGAAAGCAUGGGUUCCUUGUUAUAUCACCACAUUAAAUGCUAUUUAAUUUAAUGCACCUAUAUACUUGGUAAAAGGUGGAAGGCUCGGCCCUUCUAGCCUGGUGUUUUGUUCCACCUUUAACACCUUAGUUUCCGGCUACCGGUGUUAUGUUCCAUAAUUGAGCGCUCCUAACACGAUCGGGUUUGUUAUGGGGACCCCCUUGAUAAUUCGUUUUAGAUUAAAUCUGGUACUACAUUUGCCUAAUCACCUAAUAAAUUGCAUAGGGACUUUCCGGACCCCGAGGAUAAUUUAAUCAACCCCCGGGCUAGUGCUCCUCAUGAGUGUUGGUACAAAACAGAGCAGCUUAUUAACGCUACCCGGGGCAACUCGGUGUUUGGUGUGGUAACCAUCGCUCAUCCAUCGUGUCCUGAGAACGAGGUACGCGACUCCUAUCGGGAUCGUCGACACGUCGGGCGGCCUUGCUGGAUUAGUUUUACCUUUGAUGAGAUAUCUUGUGCAUCGGGAUUCCGGUGAUGCUUUGGGUAAUAUCAGAGUUGAGGUUUUCCACUAGGGAAUCCGACGAGAUCGCGAGCUUCGUGAUUGAGGAUUUCUAUGCGGCUUGUGGUAAUUUGUGAUGGACUAGUUGGAGCACCCCUGCAGGGUUAAAUCUUUUCGGAAAGCCGUGCCCGUGGUUAUGUGGCAACGUGGAAGCUUUGUUUAACACUGGUUCUAGAUAACUUGAAGUUGACUUAAUUAAAAUAUGCCAACUGCGUGCGUAACCGUGACUGUCUCUUUCGUGAGUUCCUUCUCCGAUCGAGGACACGGUGGGGUUAUGUCUGACGUAAGUAGGUGUUCAGGAUCAUUCAUUUGAUCAUCAGUAGUUCACGUCCGUUAUGCGUAGAUCUUCCCCCUCUUGUUUCUUGUACUCGUAAGAUAGCCACCAAAUAUAUGCUUAGCCGCUGCUGCAACCUCACCACUUAACCAUACCUCACCCAUUAAGCUUUGCUAGUCUUGAUACCUUUGGAAAUGAGAUUGCUGAGUCCCCUGUGGCUCAUAGAUUACUACAACAGCAGUUGCAGGUACAUAUAAAGGUUACUUGACGCGAGCGCGUUGAUUGUUCAUUUGGAGUUGCUUCUUCUUCUUCAUUGAUCUAGGAUGGGUUCCAGGCCGGCAGCCUCAGAUAGCAAGGAUGGACGUCGUUCUUAUUUUCUCGUUUGUUUUCGUCCGUAGUUGGAACAUGCUCUUACCCUUGAUGAUUAUGUAAUGUACUGAUGUGACUCUGAUGUAGCUUGUGGCGAGUGUAAGCCAACUCUGUAUAUAUACCUCUUCUUUUCAGUACAUGUACUUGUGACGAUAUCCAUUCUUGCGACACGACAAGAUGCGCUUCUAUCCCUGACAAGGCCUUCGUGUCAAAUUGAGGAUAGGGUCGCAUCUUGGGCGUGACAAGUUGGUAUCAGAGCCGUACCGACCUAGGAGCCCCCUUGAUUGAUCGAACUUGGCCGAGUCGAGUCUAGUAAAAAUACUUUGAGUCUAGUUAUAUAUCGGAGAGUAGGAUUCUUUUUUCUCCUCUUCUAUGCUCUGGUGAGGAAUCUUGACGUAAUAAUUUACUCUACUCCUCUUCCCACUCAAUUUUUUUUAGGAUCACGCGGAUAUUUUUGGAAUCUAUAUGACGCCGAUGUGACGGAGUUCUGUCUUGGUGCCUCCUGUCUGACUUGAUUUUCUUCCGGGUAGUUGAGCUCCAGGGGAUUCUUGAGCACAUCGUUAUCAUUCAGGUUUCUGAGUAUCUAAGAACGAAGGAUGUUCGUAAUUGCUUCAAUACUAGUAGUGGCGAGAUAACCCCGAUGUCCCCAGUACUGGUGCAGAUUGUUCGGGAGUACUGCCAUACUUUGUAUCGUUGUGAUCACGAGGGUCUGUUGUAGAUGAAGGUCCGAGAUUCUAGUUGUGUGUUGACGGAUGUGAUACAAGUGACGGGUUAGUAUAAGAGUUGUGUGAAUAUUACUCCUUGUAUCCGUGUACCAGAUUGCAUGACGAGAUAUUUCGGGAAUUCUUAGGUGGGAAUUCAAGUAGUUUCUUAUAGGACAAUCUUCCAACAAAUGCAUGAUGUUAGGUUGGGGUUCGACAUCUAGUGGAUUCGUUUGUUCAUGGUCGACUUACAGCGGUACACGUUGUGUCUUAAAGAGUCCUUGUAGCUUGCUACGACUCGGGGACGCUUCGUAUGUCGGGUGCACUGCCUUGCACUUGAUGGCUAUUGUAAAAAUCGAGCCCGUGCGAUCCUGUCCACGAAAAUAUCGAACGAAAUCUUUCUCAUGCGUUUGUUCUGGCUAAUUGCAAGCCUCACCCUUUGUUUUGUUGGAAUAUGGUAAUUCAAGUUGCUUCGAUGUCAAGUGGUGAUUUCAGAUCUUUCCAAGAGGUGUUCUCAUAAUUUUUAUGUGAACACAAUUCUUUGCUCAAUCAGAUCGUCUUAUCAAUUAUUGUCAACCGGAGUGGUCAUUUCAAUUCCAUUCAACUGGUGUGCUUCUCUUCAGUGAAUUCAAUCCUCUCUAAUUUUGCAAGAUCGUUCUCUCAUUUCAUCCAGAGUUCAUCUAUCUGUCCCAAGUCGUCUUUGUUUUUCCCCGCCCUCCCGCCCUUUUUCUUCGAUGAUUGGAUUUCACCCAAGCGCAUUCAUUUCAUUGUGCUUCAGCUAUCUUUUAUUCCGUGUCCUAUCCGGUGAUUCAUCGUGAAGAUUCUCAGGAGCUUCAUUUUCAUCUUUAUUCAUUCAUGUUUCUUUAUUCAUAUUUCAAUAGUUUCUUGUUUUCAGUUCUUUUAAUUAUUUCGAGGUGCUAACCUCAUCUAGUUCUCUUAUACCGGUGCAAUAUCUCUCUUCUAAGCAAUCUUUUCUAACGGUGGUUUCUUUGAGUGGGCCCAUAACCCACAGGUUUUCCCAGGAUCUUGUCUGGCUCUUUUAAUCAUCCAGAGAUUUUUAAUUCUUUUCAACUAUGACGUAAGUAUGAUUUUCCUCAGUCAUAUUCAUUCUUCAAGAUCAACUGGAGUUAAUUCUCAUAUUUGGCUCAAUCUUGCAUUCUUCUUUAUUCCGGAGGUCUCAACAAUUCUUGGUGUUGUUCCUCGUCAUCAUUCUUAGCUUGCAAAUUCGAAGGAGUGUUUCUCUCAGUCUUUUUCCAUUCUUGUGAAGAUUGUCAUUUUAGCUUGGUGCCAUCAUCUUAGUUGUUCCAAUCAUGAGUAACCCUUUCUUGCUAUCCGGUGCAUUUCUGAGUUUUUUUAUUUCUCGUUCCUCCGAAGGCCAUCAUUUUAGAAGAUUCUUCGUUCUCAGCUUUCAGCUUUCAUCCUCAAUUCUUCUCCAUUGUUAUCUCUUCAUUCGUCUCUCGAUUAUCCGGUGCCUUGUUCAAGUUUUCUCUCAGGUGGCUCAUGAUCUCUUCAUUCUCUUGUAUCUCCAUUAAUUCGUGGUGUUCCCAUUUAUUUGUGAAUUCUUACCGGUGCGUCCUUCAUUCAUGCCUCAAGUGAUGCUUAUCUCUCCCCUCAAUAAUUUCUAGAAGAAUAAGUUGUAUGCUAAAUCCGUUGCUGGUCAUCAAUUAAACUUGAUGAAGGAAUAGCAUAACAUAAUUCUUAUUCUUGUUUCAUCAAAUGAUUUCAAUCUUUCUUUCGGAGUGGCUCAUGAUAUCAAUUCCUUGUUCUCAAGUGUUCUUCUCUUUUCUUUUCCGGAGUCCAAAGUUUUCUCAAGUAUCUCUUCGUGAAGCUUCAUCGAAGUCUUGCAAGGCUUCAAUCUUAUUCUUUCAUCCUUCUCAUCUUUGCAUAAGCCUUUUCAUACGGAGGCUUGUCAUGGUGAUUCUUCAAGGGUGUGGUUUUUCUCAAGUGUUCUUCAAGAUUCUUGUUGGAGAGCCUCAAGUAUCCUUUCUCUUGCAUUUCUAUGCGCAAUUGUCUUCCUUUAUUCUUUGAGGUGGUAUUAUAGCAUUCUUGUUAGUGUAGGAGCCUCAAAGAGUUUUCCUCUCAAGUAUGAGAUAAUUAAACCCACCAAUUCUAUGAUCAUGAGAUAUUUCAACCCAUGAUUUCUUCAUUGAGCUAUCUUGGUUUGAAUUUCACCUAAAGCUUUUCCUAUGGAUUGUUGCUAUCAUGGUGCUUGUCAUUAAUCCAAGUUCUCAAUGUAUCCUCUUGGUGUAAGAAAUUGUUCAUAUCUUGUUUCUCCCAAUCAAUCCUUGUUUCUUUUAGUUGUUGGCUGUCACCUCAUAUAUGUUGUGAUGAUUUCCAUAAGCCCACUACUAUCUUGUUCUUUUCGUUGUUGUUUGUCCAACAACUCCGUCCAAUUCUUCUCGCAAGGAUGCUUGUCAAGUUCAUUGGAGUUAGUAGUUGUCAUUCUCUUCUUCCGUAUGAGCUAGUUCCUAUUCUAUUGUUCCGGAGGCAUUGUGAUGUUGCUCUUUUGGGUCAAUCGUGUUGUUCUAUCAAGAUCAUGGUGUUCCCUUGCUCUAUUUACUUGUUUGUUGUGAAUAUUGUCUAAUUCUACCAUCUUAUCGAAAUUUUUGUCCCUUUUUCCUACCGAAGUGCUGCCGAAAUUUUCCGUGAAUUCUUGCUUCUUUCCCAUAUCAUUCCUCAUCACCUUGCAACUUUCAAGGUUCAUUGGUUUCACUCGUUUGUCAAAGAAGCGACUAAGUUUUUUACUUCUUGUUCUUUCUCAUCCUCUCCCCCUUUCAUUCUUGGAUCUCGGGGCGAGAUCCUCUUGUAGUGUAGGAGAGUUGUGACAGCCCGAGACCGACGUUCCAGAAGAUUCCCCUUUUCUUUCUGUUUUCGUCCUGUGUCUACUUUUAUUUGUCGCAUCAUCAUCGCAUCAUGCACAUCAUCUGCAUUGCAUCGGCAUCUCCGUUGCCGCCAGUUUUCAAAACUUGCAUCCGUUGUUAGUUGCCGGUUCACGUCGUUGUUCGUUUUGAGCCCGACCGCACGCGCCCGUGGCAUCGUCGAAACCUUGUUUUACAAGUGUGCGUAAAACUUUCUCUGUUUGAGUCGAUAUUUGACGUGCGGUCGAAUUGUAAUAUAGGCAGGCCGCGUGUCAAAUUUCGUCGCGAUCGGAGUCCGUCUGGUACCCGAACGGUGGACCGUAGCGGCACCGUAUUCGGUCUAUCGUCGGACGUCUGUCGAUGUUUUUAAAUACGUUGCCGGGUCGCCCGUUUUCCCACUCAUCUUUGUCUAGCCCCUCUACACAGUGCGUCGACCCUAGCGCAACCUAGUCCAAAAACCUCCCGGAACCCGAACCGGCAGUCGUAAUCGUUGGGUCCGGAUCAACCCCAUUUUACCGCAAACCGUCAUCGGUUUUAUAAUUAGAUACCCUAACUUAUUUUUUUCCUCGACCGUCCGAUCAAAUCGGAGGGUCCGGAUCAGCCUUAUCCAAAUCCACCUAUUUAUUUAAGCAGUCAAACCCUAGUCCUACCCCGUGUCCCAUCCACCCAUUCCCUCGUAGCCGCCACCCGACCAACCUCCUCCUUCCUCGGGAUCCCCAAGAUCCAGUUCGCGUCCAACCCCUCACUAGCCGUUGAGCCAACCUCCUCCCUUGCCUCCUGAACGUGUCCGGAUGCCCGUAGCUCCCUUCGUCCGUGCGUAGUAGCAGCAGCCAGGAGCCCGAGCUCCUCGUCGGCCUCGACGAAUCUCAUCCGCAUCCAAGCCAUGUAGGUCAACAACAUCAGUAGCACCACGAGGUCAUGUCCGCGCCCCUGUUUUCCUCCUACCCUCCGUAUCCUCUUCUCAGGUCUCUCUCUCCCUCAUUUCAUUUCUCUCUCUGUCUUGCAGCAGCAGCACCU
This 6375-nucleotide long non-coding RNA is filed under the name Hordeum vulgare. Its description in RNAcentral is "long non-coding RNA (HVUL_LNC018803)". Lineage: Eukaryota; Viridiplantae; Streptophyta; Magnoliopsida; Poales; Poaceae. The record is from RNAcentral.